This 521-nucleotide long non-coding RNA is filed under the name Malus domestica (apple). RNAcentral describes it as "long non-coding RNA (MDOM_LNC004048)". The record is from RNAcentral. Lineage: Eukaryota; Viridiplantae; Streptophyta; Magnoliopsida; Rosales; Rosaceae.
CAUGAUCUUCAUGGCCUAUGAAAGUUGGACAAUUAGAUGGAAGUUCCACAGAAACGGUAUCACCUCCUACAUCAGCAUCGCUUGUGAAUAAUUGUAAUUCAUCAUCAUCCACGGUACUAAAUCUCUCUUCUACAUUGAAUUUUUCUUCAUAAUGCGGAAUACCCGCUUCUGCUUUGACGGAUUCAAGUUGGGGAACAUACUCAUUUAAAUCAGAUAAUUCAUCGUCAUCCACGGCACUAAAUCUCUCUUCUACAUUGAAUUUUUCUUCAUAAUGUGGAAUACCCGCUUCUUCUUUGACGGAUUCAAGUUGGGGAACAUCCUCAUCUAAAUCAGAUAAUUGCUGCUCUAUUAGGCCAUGCAUCUGGGGAGCAUCCUGCUGCUCUGUUAGGCCACGUCUAUGUGGAGCAUCCUGCUGCUCUGUUAGACCAUGUGCCUGCCAAGCAUCCUGCUGAUCUAUUAGGCCAUGUGUCUGUGGAGCACCCACUACAGGCUCUUCUGAGAUAUGACUCCGUGCAGCAUCC